AUGACGCAUCCAUCAAGCAGCAGGAGGACGGAGCCAUCCAGGCGAGAAGGUGCCGCACAAAGAGAGCAAAAGAGGGAGACAGAGGCAGCCGGCGAGGCAAAAGCACCUCCCGUAGGCUCCUGCACACAGAGAAGACGAGGAGACGCGCCCCUGGGACAGCGUCGAGAAGAUCGGAGAGCGCACCCAUGCAGCGGCACGUGCGCCAAGGGGAUGCAGGCAUGCGGCGAUGACAUCCUCACACGGAAGCAAAGCAGCGACGAGCAGAUGAAAGUGCCUGCGGGAGGACUUCCGGCGGUGCAAUAA
RNAcentral lists this ribosomal RNA (303 nucleotides) under Triticum aestivum (bread wheat). Its description in RNAcentral is "partial small subunit ribosomal RNA". Lineage: Eukaryota; Viridiplantae; Streptophyta; Magnoliopsida; Poales; Poaceae. The record is from RNAcentral.